RNAcentral lists this ribosomal RNA (497 nucleotides) under uncultured bacterium. RNAcentral's name for it is "partial 16S ribosomal RNA". It matches the Rfam family "Bacterial small subunit ribosomal RNA", at positions 28 to 507 of the family's 1533-position model. The record is from RNAcentral.
GAUGAACGCUGGCGGCGUGCCUAAUACAUGCAAGUCGAGCGAACGGACGAGAAGCUUGCUUCUCUGAUGUUAGCGGCGGACGGGUGAGUAACACGUGGAUAACCUACCUAUAAGACUGGGAUAACUUCGGGAAACCGGAGCUAAUACCGGAUAAUAUUUUGAACCGCAUGGUUCAAAAGUGAAAGACGGUCUUGCUGUCACUUAUAGAUGGAUCCGCGCUGCAUUAGCUAGUUGGUAAGGUAACGGCUUACCAAGGCAACGAUGCAUAGCCGACCUGAGAGGGUGAUCGGCCACACUGGAACUGAGACACGGUCCAGACUCCUACGGGAGGCAGCAGUAGGGAAUGUUCCGCAAAGGGCGAAAGCCUGACGGAGCAACGCCGCGUGAGUGAUGAAGGUCUUCGGACCGUAAAACUCUGUUAUUAGGGAAGAACAUAUGUGUAAGUAACUGUGCACAUCUUGACGGUACCUAAUCAGAAAGCCACGGCUAACUACGUG